UGGGGAAUAUUGGACAAUGGGCGCAAGCCUGAUCCAGCAAUGCCGCGUGGGUGAAGACGGCCUGCGGGUUGUAAAGCCCUUUAGGUGGGGAAGAACGAGGUCUGGUUAAUAGCCAGGCAUUAUGACAUUACCCACGGAAUAAGCACCGGCUAACUCCGUGCCAGCAGCCGCGGUAAUACGGAGGGUGCGAGCGUUAAUCGGAAUGACUGGGCGUAAAGCGUGCGUAGGUGGUAGCGUUAGUCGGCCGUGAAAGCCCUGGGCUUAACCUGGGAAUGGCGGUUGAAACGGCGCAACUUGAGUGGGUUAGAGGACUGUGGAACUCCUGGUGUAGCGGUGAAAUGCGUAGAGAUCAGGAAGAACACCGAUGGCGAAGGCAGCGGUCUGGGGCCACACUGACACUGAGGCACGAAAGCGUGGGGAGCAAACAGG
Molecule: ribosomal RNA, 429 nt
Filed under: uncultured bacterium
Lineage: Bacteria
Description: bacterial SSU rRNA
Rfam family: Bacterial small subunit ribosomal RNA
Source: RNAcentral